This 77-nucleotide transfer RNA is filed under the name Myxococcota bacterium. Its description in RNAcentral is "tRNA-Arg". It matches the Rfam family "tRNA". Rfam says of the family: Transfer RNA (tRNA) molecules are approximately 80 nucleotides in length. Their secondary structure includes four short double-helical elements and three loops (D, anti-codon, and T loops). The record is from RNAcentral. Lineage: Bacteria; Pseudomonadati; Myxococcota.
GGGCGGGUAGCUCAGCUGGAUAGAGCUUCGGCUUCCGAAGCCGACGGUCGUAGGUUCGAAUCCUAUUCCGCUCACCA